GUCUAUGGCCAUGUGACCCUGAGCAAGCCCGAUCCCGUCUGAUCUCAGAAGCUAAGCAGGGUCGGGCCUUGGUACUUGGUACUUGGAUGGGAGACCACCUAGGAAGACCAGGUGCUGUAGGAG
This 123-nucleotide ribosomal RNA is filed under the name Pteropus alecto (black flying fox). The record is from RNAcentral. Lineage: Eukaryota; Metazoa; Chordata; Mammalia; Chiroptera; Pteropodidae.